GACGAACGCUGGCGGCGUGCUUAACACAUGCAAGUCGAACGGUAAGGCCCUUCGGGGUACACGAGUGGCGAACGGGUGAGUAACACGUGGGUGAUCUGCCCUGCACUUCGGGAUAAGCCUGGGAAACUGGGUCUAAUACCGGAUAGGACCACUGCCUGCAUGGGUGGUGGUGGAAAGCUUUUGCGGUGUGGGAUGGGCCCGCGGCCUAUCAGCUCGUUGGUGGGGUGAUGGCCUACCAAGGCGACGACGGGUAGCCGGGCUGAGAGGGUGACCGGCCACACUGGGACUGGGAGACGGCCCAGACUCCUACGGGAGGCAGCAGUGGGGAAUAUUGCACAAUGGGGGCAAGCCUGAUGCAGCGACGCCGCGUGAGGGAUGACGGCCUUCGGGUUGUACACCUCUGUCAGCACAGACGAAGCGCAAGUGACGGUAUGUGCAGAAGAAGGACCGGCCAACUACGUGCCAGCCGCCGCGGUAA
Molecule: ribosomal RNA, 478 nt
Filed under: uncultured bacterium
Lineage: Bacteria
Description: partial 16S ribosomal RNA
Rfam family: Bacterial small subunit ribosomal RNA
Source: RNAcentral